AAAAUCCGUGGCACUUGGGCCUGAGAUGUGAUGCCGAGCCGUUUUUGGUGAAGUGAGUGAUCCCAUGCUGCCGAGAAAAGCCUCUAGUGAGUGUGAUUGCGGCCCGUACCCUAAACCGACUCAGGUGGUCAGGUAGAGAAUACUAAGGCGAUCGGGUGAACUGUGGUUAAGGAACUCGGCAAAUUGCCCCCGUAACUUUGGGAGAAGGGGGGCCAUGUCCGGUGAUCAGGCGUGCCCUGUGAGCUGGGUGUGGUCGCAGAUACCAGGGGGAAGCGACUGUUUACUAAAAACACAGGUCCGUGCGAAGUCGUAAGACGCUGUAUACGGACUGACGCCUGCCCGGUGCCGGAACGUUAAGAGGACCGGUUAGAACCUUUGGGUUCGAAGCUGAGAAUCUAAGCGCCGGUAAACGGCGGUGGUAACUAUAACCAUCCUAAGGUAGCGAAAUUCCUUGUCGGGUAAGUUCCGACCUGCACGAAUGGCGUAACGACUUCCCCACUGUCUCAACCACAGGCCCGGCGAAAUUGCAUUACGAGUAAAGAUGCUCGUUACGCGCAGCAGGACGGAAAGACCCCGGGACCUUCACUAUAGCUUGGCAUUGGCGUUUGGAGCGUCUUGUGUAGGAUAGGUGGGAGACUGUGAAGCUCGGACGCCAGUUCGGGUGGAGUCAUUGGUGAAAUACCACUCUGGUCGUUUCGGGCGUCUAACCCGGGCCCAUGAUCUGGGUCGGGGACAGUGCCUGGUGGGUAGUUUAACUGGGGCGGUUGCCUCCUAAAAGGUAACGGAGGCGCCCAAAGGUUCCCUCAGCCUGGUUGGCAAUCAGGUGGCGAGUGCAAGGGCACAAGGGAGCUUGACUGUGAGACAGACAUGUCGAGCAGGUGCGAAAGCAGGGCCUAGUGAUCCGGCGGUGGCAUGUGGAAGCGCCGUCGAUCAACGGCUAAAAGGUACCCCGGGGAUAACAGGCUGAUCUUCCCCAAGAGUCCAUAUCGACGGGAUGGUUUGGCACCUCGAUGUCGGCUCGUCGCAUCCUGGGGCUGGAGUAGGUCCCAAGGGUUGGGCUGUUCGCCCAUUAAAGCGGCACGCGAGCUGGGUUUAGAACGUCGCGAGACAGUUCGGUCCCUAUCCGCUGCGCGCGUAGGAGACUUGAGAGGGUCUGUCCCUAGUACGAGAGGACCGGGACGGACGAACCUCUGGUGUGCCAGUUGUUCUGCCAAGAGCAUGGCUGGUUGGCUACGUUCGGUCGGGAUAACCGCUGAAAGCAUCUAAGCGGGAAGCCUUCCUCGAGAUGAGGUCUCCCUCCCACUUCGGUGGGGUAAGGCCCCCAGCUAGACCACUGGGUUGAUAGGCCGGAGAUGGAAGCAUCGCAAGGUGUGGAGUCGACCGGUACUAAUAGGCCGAGCGGCUUGA
Molecule: ribosomal RNA, 1407 nt
Filed under: metagenome
Description: bacterial LSU rRNA
Rfam family: Bacterial large subunit ribosomal RNA
Source: RNAcentral